Molecule: long non-coding RNA, 684 nt
Organism: Oncorhynchus tshawytscha (Chinook salmon)
Lineage: Eukaryota; Metazoa; Chordata; Actinopteri; Salmoniformes; Salmonidae
Source: Ensembl
CAACCCCCAGUUCUGGAGAGCUACUGGGUGUGAAGGCCUUUGCUUAGGGCAAGAAGAGCCCUGUGGCUUCAGACUAUUGGGUGUGGGAGAGUGGGAAAUCUGGGGACCCGUUGUCCAAGUAGGCUACACGUAGCGACUGUAUGUGUGUGGAAAACAUUUAACCACAGGCAGGCGGGACUGUGACAUUCUAUCUAAUACCGACUGGGACUCCGAAAUCCUCCAACCAGGAUUUCUGGGAAACCAGGGAAUUUAUUGAAAUGUCACAGAAUUUUGCAACCCUACUGUUAUGUCAACUUCUCUGCAAGGGAAUGGACCAUAGACGGAUUAAACUGAAGCCUGCCCUCUAGCGGCCUACAUAGAGCACCACGAUCACCAGGAGUAUGACCAUGCACAGUAAAAUGGCCAUCACUGCCCUGGUGCUGAGACCCACUGGUAGGAAGACUGCUUCUGCCGUGCAGGACAGGAGGGACCCGUCGGUCUCACAGAUACACAUGCCGACAGUGAGGGUGCCAGUGCUGCUCUGGGCUGGGUAGCCACUGUCCUCCACCACCACCACAUAGUACUCUUGGACUCACCUCUGAAACACCACACGCUUGGUCACUAUCCCCGCUGUGUUGUUUCCAAAGUGUCGCACUGUGAAAUUCAUUUUUCUGAUUUCACUGGGGGACUUGAAGAAGAACUUCU